AUGAACGCUGGCGGCGUGCCUAAUACCUGCAAGUCGAGCGAACGGACGAGAAGCUUGCUUCUCUGAUGUUAGCGGCGGACGGGUGAGUAACACGUGGAUAACCUACCUAUAAGACUGGGAUAACUUCGGGAAACCGGAGCUAAUACCGGAUGAUAUUUUGAACCGCAUGGUUCAAAAGUGAAAGACGGUCUUGCUGUCACUUAUAGAUGGAUCCGCGCUGCAUUAGCUAGUUGGUAAGGUAACGGCUUACCAAGGCAACGAUGCAUAGCCGACCUGAGAGGGUGAUCGGCCACACUGGAACUGAGACACGGUCCAGACUCCUACGGGAGGCAGCAGUAGGGAAUCUUCCGCAAUGGGCGAAAGCCUGACGGAGCAACGCCGCGUGAGUGAUGAGGGUCUUCGGAUCGUAAAACUCUGUUAUUAGGGAAGAACAUAUGUGUAAGUAACUGUGCACAUCUUGACGGUACCUAAUCAGAAAGCCACGGCUAACUACGUG
RNAcentral lists this ribosomal RNA (496 nucleotides) under uncultured bacterium. RNAcentral's name for it is "partial 16S ribosomal RNA". It matches the Rfam family "Bacterial small subunit ribosomal RNA", at positions 29 to 507 of the family's 1533-position model. The record is from RNAcentral.